This 693-nucleotide ribosomal RNA is filed under the name Variovorax sp. SQ26. RNAcentral describes it as "bacterial SSU rRNA". It matches the Rfam family "Bacterial small subunit ribosomal RNA", at positions 85 to 774 of the family's 1533-position model. The record is from RNAcentral. Lineage: Bacteria; Pseudomonadati; Pseudomonadota; Betaproteobacteria; Burkholderiales; Comamonadaceae.
CUGGCGGCGAGUGGCGAACGGGUGAGUAAUACAUCGGAACGUGCCCAAUCGUGGGGGAUAACGCAGCGAAAGCUGUGCUAAUACCGCAUACGAUCUACGGAUGAAAGCAGGGGAUCGCAAGACCUUGCGCGAAUGGAGCGGCCGAUGGCAGAUUAGGUAGUUGGUGAGGUAAAGGCUCACCAAGCCUUCGAUCUGUAGCUGGUCUGAGAGGACGACCAGCCACACUGGGACUGAGACACGGCCCAGACUCCUACGGGAGGCAGCAGUGGGGAAUUUUGGACAAUGGGCGAAAGCCUGAUCCAGCCAUGCCGCGUGCAGGAUGAAGGCCUUCGGGUUGUAAACUGCUUUUGUACGGAACGAAACGGUCUUUUCUAAUACAGAAGGCUAAUGACGGUACCGUAAGAAUAAGCACCGGCUAACUACGUGCCAGCAGCCGCGGUAAUACGUAGGGUGCAAGCGUUAAUCGGAAUUACUGGGCGUAAAGCGUGCGCAGGCGGUUAUGUAAGACAGUUGUGAAAUCCCCGGGCUCAACCUGGGAACUGCAUCUGUGACUGCAUAGCUAGAGUACGGUAGAGGGGGAUGGAAUUCCGCGUGUAGCAGUGAAAUGCGUAGAUAUGCGGAGGAACACCGAUGGCGAAGGCAAUCCCCUGGACCUGUACUGACGCUCAUGCACGAAAGCGUGGGGAGCAAACA